Long non-coding RNA from Lotus japonicus, 407 nucleotides. RefSeq lists it as uncharacterized. The record is from RefSeq and is a predicted model, not a curated record. The transcript is spliced from 4 exons. NCBI's taxonomy places the organism in Eukaryota, Viridiplantae, Streptophyta, Magnoliopsida, Fabales, Fabaceae.
AGGAGUCACCUGCCCAUUGGGAAAAGGUUCUUGAAGGGAUUCGCAAAAUGAUGUAUUCUGGAGAUGAACCUGUAGACAUGACCACACGUGAAAAAGAUGAUGAUACUCUACCUCCUAAGGAAAGAAGAUUUGCUGUCCUGGCAUCAUCCCUUUUAUCAAGUCAAACUAAGGAGCAUGUUACUCGUGAAUAGGAGGAACUCAACGUCUUCGUGAAAAUGGUCUGCUUAGUGCUGAUGCAAUCAACAGAGCUGAUGAAGAAACCAUAAAAAAGUUGAUUUACCCUGUUGGGUUUUAUACUAGAAAAGCGAGCAACUUGAAGAAAAUUGCUCAUAUUUGUCUCGAGAAGUAUAAUGGAGACAUACCUAGCUCAAUUGAGGAGCUACUCUUACUCCCAGGUGUAGGUCCUA